RNAcentral lists this long non-coding RNA (347 nucleotides) under Elaeis guineensis (African oil palm). RNAcentral describes it as "long non-coding RNA (EGUI_LNC071930)". Lineage: Eukaryota; Viridiplantae; Streptophyta; Magnoliopsida; Arecales; Arecaceae. The record is from RNAcentral.
AGAUCUAGGAUCUGCCACGUUGCAUGGUUUGCACCGCUGAUUGCUUUGCUUGAUGUUAGUUGUUGCGGUCAAUCUCCUAUUGCAUCUAUCGUUGGAGAAAAAUAUCUGCAAAAAAAAAUUUAUAUUGAUCGAAAUUAUGUCUGGUGGAGAUCCUUCAAUGUUUAAGUCAGUAAAGAGUGAUGAACAACAGAUAGAAUAUUCAAAGCAGCAGAGUAUCAGCUCAAAAAAGUAUCUUACCUAAAUAUUGUUCAUUUACCUCCUUUAUAGACAAGUUAUUGAUAACCUUUUGUAACGGUUAGAGACGUGGGUCUCACUUAUUCUGAUACUAUGUGAUCGUAGGAUGGGCG